GAGAACAAACAGGGAUUGCCUCAGUAACGGCGAGUGAAGCGGCAACAGCUCAAAUUUGAAAGCUGGCCCCCCCGGGGGUCCGCGUUGUAAUUUGUAAAGGAUGAUUCGGCGAGGGCUCCCGCCUAAGUCCCCUGGAACGGGGCGUCAUAGAGGGUGAGAAUCCCGUAUGCGGUGGGCUGCCUUAGCCAUGUGAAUCUCCUUCGACGAGUCGAGUUGUUUGGGAAUGCAGCUCUAAAUGGGAGGUAAAUUUCUUCUAAAGCUAAAUACCGGCCAGAGACCGAUAGCGCACAAGUAGAGUGAUCGAAAGAUGAAAAGCACUUUGGAAAGAGAGUUAAAAAGUACGUGAAAUUGUUGAAAGGGAAGCGCUUGCAUCCAGACUUGUCCGCAGUUGCUCAGCCGGUCUCCUGACCGGCGCACUCUUCUGCGGCCAGGCCAGCAUCAGUUCGGGCGGUCGGAUAAAGGCCCCGGGAACGUAGCUCCUCUCGGGGAGUGUUAUAGCCCGGGGUGGAAUGCGGCCAGCCUGGACUGAGGAUCUCGCUUCGGCUAGGAUGCUGGCGUAAUGGCUGUAAGCGGCCCGUCUUGAAACACGGACCAAGGAGUCUAACAUCUAUGCGAGUGUUUGGGUGUCAAACCCAUGCGCGUAAUGAAAGUGAACGGAGGUGGGAACCCUCGCGGGUGCACCAUCGACCGAUCCUGAUGUCUUCGGAUGGAUUUGAGUAAGAGCAUAGCUGUUGGGACCCGAAAGAUGGUGAACUAUGCCUGAAUAGGGUGAAGCCAGAGGAAACUCUGGUGGAGGCUCGCAGCGGUUCUGACGUGCAAAUCGAUCGUCAAAUUUGGGUAUAGGGGCGAAAGACUAAUCGAACCAUCGACUACUAGGUGGUUAAGAGGUGGCUGAAAGUGCCCACCUAGUCCCCCCGUCCUCGGACGGGGGGGCGACAUCGCCAAAUUGCGGGGACUCCCUUAGAGCCUCUACUACCGCGGCCGGCCGAAAGGCGCGGUGCAGCACCGGGUUAAUUGCCUAGGGUACGGUAAAAAGGUAGAGGAUUGGGAAAUCCGCAGCCAAGCGCCUAAGUCCCGCGGGAUACGGCGAAGGUUCAGAGACUAGAUGGCGGUGGGUCCGGCCCGAGGGCCGGGCCUAAGGUAUAGUCCACCCCCCGCGGAGACGCGGGC
Molecule: small RNA, 1170 nt
Filed under: Neoscytalidium hyalinum
Lineage: Eukaryota; Fungi; Ascomycota; Dothideomycetes; Botryosphaeriales; Botryosphaeriaceae
Description: eukaryotic LSU rRNA
Rfam family: Eukaryotic large subunit ribosomal RNA
Source: RNAcentral